UUGCAUAUGAUGAAUUUUACUCGGAUUCCCCUUCAAGACUUUAUGGGUGAUGUAGACACGAGUUUCUGAUGCA
This is a non-coding RNA of Jatropha curcas, 73 nucleotides long. The record is from Rfam. Lineage: Eukaryota; Viridiplantae; Streptophyta; Magnoliopsida; Malpighiales; Euphorbiaceae.